This 547-nucleotide long non-coding RNA is filed under the name Drosophila guanche. The record is from RNAcentral. Lineage: Eukaryota; Metazoa; Arthropoda; Insecta; Diptera; Drosophilidae.
GUGACAGGGGGCAAACGGCACUUUGACAACGGACAGAGGAACGGACAGCGGGACGGACAGCGACGCAGGCAAGUGGCAAAGUCAACAAAUGUGUGCAACGGACACACAAUUUUUACCCAAUGCACAAACAUGGGGCACGGCCCGCGGCCAAAUGGCUUCUCUUUCGCUCUCCCUCUCUCUCUCUCUCUCUCUCUCUGCUGGUCUUUGCCCCUGCAACAAUUUUUCACUUACUGGUCGGUGCCUGGUCGGGCAACGUCUUUGCCAGUUUUUCGUAAUUUUUCAUUGGAAAUAUCGCGCUACGCACUUGAUUGCAGCAUUUAAUUAAAGCAGCAGCGAAGGCAAGAGGUUCCACACAGCAACAGCAACAGCAACAGCAACGGCAGAGGCAGCAACAUCCUGGGGCAACAACAGAGCAUAAUAAAAGUUGAAGAAAGGCUGCGAAAAGCGGCUCGAAACUAGUAAUACACUUGCGCACAUUUAUUUUAUGUUUCAUUUUGCAGCAAGGGAAGCUAAAAAAUGUUUUUUGCACCCAAAAAGUUAAUCUCUG